GAUGAACGCUGGCGGCGUGCCUAAUACAUGCAAGUCGAGCGAACGGACUAGAAGCUUGCUUCUCUGAUGUUAGCGGCGGACGGGUGAGUAACACGUGGAUAACCUACCUAUAAGACUGGGAUAACUUCGGGAAACCGUAGCUAAUACCGGAUAAUAUUUUGAACCGCAUGGUUCAAAAGUGAAAGACGGUCUUGCUGUCACUUAUAGAUGGAUCCGCGCUGCAUUAGCUAGUUGGUAAGGUAACGGCUUACCAAGGCAACGAUGCAUAGCCGACCUGAGAGGGGGGUCGGCCCCACUGAAACUAGGACCCGGCCCAGACCCCUACGGGGGGCAGCAGUAGGGAAUCUUCCGCAAGGGGGGAAAGCCUGACGGAGCAACGCCGGGGUGGGGAUGAAGGUCUUCGGAUCGUAAAACCUUUUUAUUGGGGAAAAACAAAUGUGAAAGUAACUGUGCACAUCUUGACGGUACCGAAUCAGAAAGCCACGGCUAAUUACGU
Molecule: ribosomal RNA, 496 nt
Filed under: uncultured bacterium
Lineage: Bacteria
Description: partial 16S ribosomal RNA
Rfam family: Bacterial small subunit ribosomal RNA
Source: RNAcentral